GCCCUGGUAGCUUAACCUUAAAGCGCCGGUCUUGUAAUCCGGAAAUCGGAGGUUUAAAUCCUCCCCAGCGCC
RNAcentral lists this transfer RNA (72 nucleotides) under Narcetes stomias (blackhead salmon). Its description in RNAcentral is "tRNA-Thr". It matches the Rfam family "tRNA". Rfam says of the family: Transfer RNA (tRNA) molecules are approximately 80 nucleotides in length. Their secondary structure includes four short double-helical elements and three loops (D, anti-codon, and T loops). Further hydrogen bonds mediate the characteristic L-shaped molecular structure. tRNAs have two regions of fundamental functional importance: the anti-codon, which is responsible for specific mRNA codon recognition, and the 3' end, to which the tRNAs corresponding amino acid is attached (by aminoacyl-tRNA synthetases). tRNAs cope with the degeneracy of the genetic code in two manners: having more than one tRNA (with a specific anti-codon) for a particular amino acid; and 'wobble' base-pairing, i.e. permitting non-standard base-pairing at the 3rd anti-codon position. The record is from RNAcentral. Lineage: Eukaryota; Metazoa; Chordata; Actinopteri; Alepocephaliformes; Alepocephalidae.